Molecule: non-coding RNA, 1916 nt
Organism: Zootermopsis nevadensis
Lineage: Eukaryota; Metazoa; Arthropoda; Insecta; Blattodea; Termopsidae
Source: RefSeq, a predicted model, not a curated record
AAAAUUGUAAGUUUUACUAAAUUAAAAAAAAUAAGUGUUCUCUGUGAAGAAGUGGUAGGUAGCAGUUACACAGUGCUACUGCUGCACAUUAUCACGAGUCAGAGUUCUGGUUCCUCUAAUCACACUGCACUUUGAAAUUGUAUUAUUCAGUGUGGACAGUCUCUGCCACCUUUCAUCACGUCUGUGUGAUACUGCAUGGCCACAGAGAUUACAAUACCUAGUAGGCAUUUAUACAAAGAUAAAUUCACAAAAUUUAUCAUUCCAAGACGACUAUGAAAAUUACCUCUGCACGUUAAAAAACAGAUUGUGCAAAAUAGGACCUUGGAGAACAUGCGUUGGAAAGUAUCACAUUGUUUUCAGGCGUUGAUUGAUUAUUUGAACUUGAGAUUUAUGUCUUGUUGACAUAAUGGGACAUUUACGAGACCUCCAACUUUUCUGAAAGUUUUCUUUUCCACCUGCGGUAAGUUUUCAGUGGUUAAGAAACCCAACAGACUCACAGAGCAAUGGUUAUAAACAAAACAAUACGACUCUUUAAUGAACGUUUGCACAGGCAAUAGUUUGAAAGGUACGCAAAUAUACAUAGGCAGCAGUGCCUUUAUUAACUUUCGGGCUAGUCCAAAGAAAGAAGAAGAAUUCCAAGUGUAACGACUUCUGCUUCCAUGUGCAUGUCUGUGAGAAGCAGCGUUCUCAAGAUAUGCAGCAACAAAGCGAAGUGUCAAAAUGGGCUGAAUGCAGAUGACACCGUAAAAUUUUACAAAACUGCCUGACUUGUGCUUAAACAAGCACGUCCAACCGCCGUAUUAGCCUGGGUGGUUAUCAUCUUACUGGCUCUCCGAUAUCUCCUGGCUCUCCCUUGAGGCCUUCAGGGCCAGGUGGACCUUCAGGCCCUGGUAUUCCAGUCAGACCCAUUGGUCCCUCGCUGCCACGCAUCGCCGUCUACAAAAUAAGUAAGCUCCGUAUGCUGGUCCGGCCCUUUAUCGUAUCCCUGCACGUUCAGCUGUGGAAACAGAAUUUACGAGUAAGAUGACUCUUCUGGGAUAUAAAACCGACAUUUAAGAGAAGCUUCCUGCUUUCGUCAUCGGUCCAUCACCCUGAUGCAUUAAGCAGGUGUUUCAUAUGGUUACCAUUGGUGUAAUGUUUUAAUGGACCAUUACUGAAAGAUGAUUCCGGUGAUACCGAUUUGUAAGUGUAGAUAUAUUAAAAUUAUUUUUACAAAACCAUGUCGUAAAAUUCGUUACAUUGAUCCAGGACAGAGUCAGGUAACAUGCUUACAAGCUUACUUUUAGUAUAUUGUAUGGCGAAUCUAACUUAUUAACCAAACGCCCCAUAUAGCAUGAAUAUUACCAGAUUUAACCUCCGAGAAAUAAAUAUAGCAAAACAAAUCUAAAAUUGCAGCCAUUUUACAAUAUUGUUCUUCCUAUUUUAUAAACGUUUUCGACCAUCCUGAAAUAAGAUAAAACAGAAGGAUACACAUGGCGGAAACUGAAUAUUUUUCCUCCCUUAGCAAGUUUAUUUUGGGACUAGCAAAAACCAAGACCACUUUAACAUUAUAAAUAUGUUAAGCAACUAUAUGCCAAUUUCUGAAAGUCCUCGAAAUACAGUCUCCAGAAGGGACGUAGUAAUCCAGUCGCAAAAUUUGUUACGAAAUUCUUUAGUGUGUCAGAAGCGUGGUUAAAGUUUAAUUUGGUACGAUGCACAAGGCUUUCAGAAUUAGUUGGCCAUCAGUGCUAGUAGAAUAAUUCUGUAGUGCAUCGUAGGACCAGUUUAGAACGGUCUUCGGGUUUAGUAAAGACAGUUAAUGGAAGUGUUCUAGUCAAGCAGUUGGUCAUUGAACAUUUCGUCUGAGAGCUGAAGUUGAAAUGUUAGUCGUGAAGGAAGAGUUUAGUUCAGCAAUUUGCCGUUAAGCAGUGAAUAAA